GAUGAAGAACGUAGCGAAAUGCGAUAAGUAAUGUGAAUUGCAGAAUUCAGUGAAUCAUCGAAUCUUUGAACGCACCUUGCGCUCCUUGGUAUUCCGAGGAGCAUGCCUGUUUGAGUGUCAUGAAAUUCUCAACCUUUUCAGCUUUCUUUGUUGAUCAGGCUUGGAUGUGGGAGUAUGCGGGCUUCUCAGAAGUCGGCUCUCCUGAAAUGCAUUAGCGGGACCUUUGUUGCCAGGCUUUGGUGUGAUAAUUAUCUACGCCAUUGUAGUCAAGCAGCUUAAAAUGAGGUUUCAGCUUCUAACCGUCUCCCCUGAGACAACUUUUUGACAAUUUGACCUCAAAUCAGGUAGGACUACCCGCUGAACUUAAGCAUAUCAAUAAGCGGAGGA
RNAcentral lists this unclassified non-coding RNA (387 nucleotides) under soil metagenome. Its description in RNAcentral is "partial contains 5.8S ribosomal RNA, internal transcribed spacer 2, and large subunit ribosomal RNA". The stretch from base 1 to 120 matches the Rfam family "5.8S ribosomal RNA", at positions 35 to 154 of the family's 154-position model. The record is from RNAcentral.